Molecule: transfer RNA, 72 nt
Filed under: Neoceratias spinifer
Lineage: Eukaryota; Metazoa; Chordata; Actinopteri; Lophiiformes; Neoceratiidae
Description: tRNA-Trp
Rfam family: tRNA
About the family: Transfer RNA (tRNA) molecules are approximately 80 nucleotides in length.
Source: RNAcentral
AGGGGCUUAGGUUAGCAAUCAGACCGGGGGCCUUCAAAGCCCUAGGCGAGGGUUAAAAUCCCCCAGCCCCUG